AUUGAACGCUGGCGGCAGGCCUAACACAUGCGAGUCGAGCGGACGAAGGGAGCUUGCUCCUGGAUUCAGCGGCGGACGGGUGAGUAAUGCCUAGGAAUCUGCCUGGUAGUGGGGGAUAACGCCCGGAAACGGGCGCUAAUACCGUACACGUCCUGAGGGAGAAAGUGGGGGAUCUUCGGACCUCACGCUAUCAGAUGAGCCUAGGUCGGAUUAGCUAGUUGGUGGGGUAAAGGCCUACCAAGGCGACGAUCCGUAACUGGUCUGAGAGGAUGAUCAGUCACACUGGAACUGAGACACGGUCCAGACUCCUACGGGAGGCAGCAGUGGGGAAUAUUGGACAAUGGGCGAAAGCCUGAUCCAGCCAUGCCGCGUGUGUGAAGAAGGUCUUCGGAUUGUAAAGCACUUUUAGUUGGGAGGAAAAGCAGUAAGUUAAUACCUUGCUGUUUUGACGGUACCAACAGAAUAAGCACCGGCUAACUUCGUG
RNAcentral lists this ribosomal RNA (484 nucleotides) under uncultured bacterium. Its description in RNAcentral is "partial 16S ribosomal RNA". It matches the Rfam family "Bacterial small subunit ribosomal RNA", at positions 30 to 507 of the family's 1533-position model. The record is from RNAcentral.